GCUUACAUACCAUAACGUCUUAUUUUUUUAUAAUAUUUGAUCGACACCGUUACUGGUGAAUUAUCAGUCCCCGAGAGUAUCAUCACUUAAGUAGUCAGUUAUUUGGUACUGAUAUCAUUUAUAACAACCCUUCUGAAAUUGUCUGAUUAUAGGUUAGGAUAUUAUUACGGAUCUUAACCUCAGAUUGACCUUAUAUGAAUUUUGUUUAUUUGAGCUUCUUUUUCGUGAUUUAGCUCUUCAACUGUAUCUGUUAUUAUAUAAUUCGUGGCAUUCGAAUAAUUGUAUUUGUACCUUUUUGAGUUUGGUCUUGAAAAGGGGUUCGGAUAUAUGGGAUUUUUUAAGUGUUGUUUUAUUUUUUUAAGAAAAGGGCACACAUGUACCAUAAAAGAAUAUAAUUUAUUAACAAAAUAAUGACGAAAAAGACACCAGAAACGAAUUCACAUUAUUUACACGAAAAAGAAAGGAAGCAUUCUUGUUAAACAAUUCCUUGAAACUUUACCAUACGGACUUCAGAUAAAGUACCGUGAUCCCUUCAAAAUCAGAAAAGUGUAAUUGUCUGUUCAACGUGCUGAUUUUACACUUUUUAAUCCUAGCACUCUUUUGUGCUUAUCCCAUGUGCAUUUUCACCAUGUGGUGUCAUUAUGUCUGUAUAUGUCAUUUGUAACGUAUGUUUUGUCAGAUGAUUCGGAUGUUGAUGUUUCAUGUGAUCUGUUGUACCGAUGAUUAAAGUUGUCAUUUCUAUGAAUAACUGUAUUCAUGUGUUGUAUCAUUUUCUUGCAUCAUUUUAUGCACCCUUAGAGUUUUUCGUGAACAUUAACUAUUAAUAACCACUCAACAUUACUAUAGCAAUCAAAAAGUGUUUCUCGUGAAAAUUAACUUACGUAGUAAUUUUACUAACCACUCAACAUCACUAUGGCAGGAUAUCAGACAACUUCCUUCCGCAAUCAGGUCAAUUGGGCGACAGGAUUAAUGUAUUGUUAUUUUACAGUUAGAUGUUACAUAGUUUUAUCGGCAAUUGAUCGUAUUGGUUGGUACUUUGGUGAUAAUGAAUGAAUCAAACGUCUUUAUGUCAAUAACGUGUAAAAUAAAAACAGGAUUUAGUUGAAGUACGACAUGAAUGUUUUGUUACUUGACAUAUUUGUGCUGCAGAAAUGUAAAAUGCACUUUAAGACUUGCUUAUUUCAUAAUUUUUUUUACGUUUUACGCAGGAAUAUUUUUACGUAAUAAAAUGUGGUUUCGAUUACUAUAACGAUUUUUCCAGUUUUGAUUGGGAACUUAAAGUAACCAAAUAAUUUGCCCUCUGAUAUCACUGAACAUACAUCUUGUCGAAUUAGAAUCUUGUACGGUGGUAUUGCUUAGUAUUGUUAGUAUUGUUUAUUUCUAUGUUCCGCUCUCUUGGGCAUUAGUUCGACAUUAAACGUGUUUUCUCAAACUGGAACUAGUUCUAAAUUCCGUUUUUGACAUCCAACAAGAGUAAAUCUGACAAAGUUACAAAAC
This 1497-nucleotide long non-coding RNA is filed under the name Mytilus galloprovincialis (Mediterranean mussel). Lineage: Eukaryota; Metazoa; Mollusca; Bivalvia; Mytilida; Mytilidae. The record is from RNAcentral.